Molecule: ribosomal RNA, 231 nt
Filed under: Triticum aestivum (bread wheat)
Lineage: Eukaryota; Viridiplantae; Streptophyta; Magnoliopsida; Poales; Poaceae
Description: partial small subunit ribosomal RNA
Source: RNAcentral
AUGUUAAUCGGGGGGGAUUUUAAUAUCCUUCGAUAUCGGCAGGAAAAAAACAAUGAUCGGUUUGACACUAGGUGGCCCUUCCUCUUUAAUGCUGUUAUUGACAGCCUCGAUCUGAGGGAGAUCACGAUGUCUGGUCGUCAGUAUACCUGGGCCAAUAACCGAUCGGUGCCAACCUUCGAAAAUCUGGACCGGGUGCUAGUUACUACUGACUGGGAUAUAAAUAUCCCCUAG